RNAcentral lists this ribosomal RNA (187 nucleotides) under uncultured bacterium. RNAcentral describes it as "partial 16S ribosomal RNA". The record is from RNAcentral.
UAGGCGGCGUUGUCCUCUUGAGAACGGCAUCGGGGUUCAAUUACCUUUACCAUGUGACUAAGGGGGGGGUUACAAUGCCCCGGUACAAUUCACCGGAACAUCAUCACCUGGGCUUCCUAAUAUUUCUUUUUAGCAAUGCCAACUCCAUUGAAUCCUGAUACUGAUUCUGUUCUGAAUUGUUCUCCAA